This 492-nucleotide ribosomal RNA is filed under the name uncultured bacterium. RNAcentral describes it as "partial 16S ribosomal RNA". It matches the Rfam family "Bacterial small subunit ribosomal RNA", at positions 29 to 507 of the family's 1533-position model. The record is from RNAcentral.
AGUGAACGCUGGCGGUAGGCCUAACACAUGCAAGCCGAACGGCAGCACAGUAAGAGCUUGCUCUUACGGGUGGCGAGUGGCGGACGGGUGAGGAAUACAUCGGCAUCUACUUUUUCGUGGGGGAUAACGUAGGGAAACUUACGCUAAUACCGCAUACGACCUACGGGUGGAAGCAGGGGAUCUUCGGACCUUGCGCGAUUGAAUGAGCCGAUGUCGGAUUAGCUAGUUGGCGGGGUAAAGGCCCACCAAGGCGACGAUCCGUAGCUGGUCUGAGAGGAUGAUCAGCCACACUGGAACUGAGACACGGUCCAGACUCCUACGGGAGGCAGCAGUGGGGAAUAUUGGACAAUGGGCGCAAGCCUGAUGCAGCCAUACCGCGUGGGUGAAGAAGGCCUUCGGGUUGUAAAGCCCUUUUGUUGGGAAAGAAAAGCAGCAGGUUAAUACCCCGCUGUUCUGACGGUACCCAAAGAAUAAGCACCGGCUAACUUCGUG